Molecule: ribosomal RNA, 380 nt
Filed under: Salmonella enterica
Lineage: Bacteria; Pseudomonadati; Pseudomonadota; Gammaproteobacteria; Enterobacterales; Enterobacteriaceae
Description: bacterial SSU rRNA
Source: RNAcentral
AAAUUGAAGAGUUUGAUCAUGGCUCAGAUUGAACGCUGGCGGCAGGCCUAACACAUGCAAGUCGAACGGUAACAGGAAGCAGCUUGCUGCUUYGCUGACGAGUGGCGGACGGGUGAGUAAUGUCUGGGAARCUGCCUGAUGGAGGGGGAUAACUACUGGAAACGGUGGCUAAUACCGCAUAACGUCGCAAGACCAAAGAGGGGGACCUUCGGGCCUCUUGCCAUCAGAUGUGCCCAGAUGGGAUUAGCUUGUUGGUGAGGUAACGGCUCACCAAGGCGACGAUCCCUAGCUGGUCUGAGAGGAUGACCAGCCACACUGGAACUGAGACACGGUCCAGACUCCUACGGGAGGCAGCAGUGGGGAAUAUUGCACAAUGGGCG